RNAcentral lists this signal recognition particle RNA (303 nucleotides) under Vombatus ursinus (common wombat). Its description in RNAcentral is "Metazoan signal recognition particle RNA (ENSVURG00010004900.1)". It matches the Rfam family "Metazoan signal recognition particle RNA". From Rfam's summary of the family: The signal recognition particle (SRP) is a universally conserved ribonucleoprotein. The record is from Rfam by way of RNAcentral. Lineage: Eukaryota; Metazoa; Chordata; Mammalia; Diprotodontia; Vombatidae.
CCUGGACAUGGUGACACAUACUUGUAAUCCCUUUUAUUGGACUGGGGAGGCUAAGGCCAGUGAAUUGCUUGAGUGUGGGAGUUCUGUGCUACAGUAGGGCUAAAGUCAAUUGGGUAUCUAUACUGUUUUGCACUAACAUGAUGAGCUUCUAGGAAUGGAGGUCCACCAUGCUACCUAAGUAGAGGCAAAUAGGCCCAGGUUGGAAAUGGAGGUCAAAGUUUCCAUGCAGAUGAGCAGUGAGGAUGUGCCUGUAAGUGGCUAGUGUACUUCAAGCCUGGGCAAAAUAGUAAGACUCAUUCUUUA